Molecule: transfer RNA, 72 nt
Filed under: Bos taurus (domestic cattle)
Lineage: Eukaryota; Metazoa; Chordata; Mammalia; Artiodactyla; Bovidae
Also listed under: 1 other name
Rfam family: tRNA
About the family: Transfer RNA (tRNA) molecules are approximately 80 nucleotides in length. Their secondary structure includes four short double-helical elements and three loops (D, anti-codon, and T loops). Further hydrogen bonds mediate the characteristic L-shaped molecular structure. tRNAs have two regions of fundamental functional importance: the anti-codon, which is responsible for specific mRNA codon recognition, and the 3' end, to which the tRNAs corresponding amino acid is attached (by aminoacyl-tRNA synthetases). tRNAs cope with the degeneracy of the genetic code in two manners: having more than one tRNA (with a specific anti-codon) for a particular amino acid; and 'wobble' base-pairing, i.e. permitting non-standard base-pairing at the 3rd anti-codon position.
Source: Rfam by way of RNAcentral
UCCCUCCUAGUUCAGUUGGUAAAGAAUCUGCCUGCAAUGCAGGAGACCCUGGUUCAAUUCCUGGGUCGGGAA